CGUCACACUAUCAUUAACUGAAUCCAUAGGUUAAUGAGGCGAACCGGGGGAACUGAAACAUCUAAGUACCCCGAGGAAAAGAAAUCAACCGAGAUUCCCCCAGUAGCGGCGAGCGAACGGGGAGGAGCCCAGAGCCUGAAUCAGCAUGUGUGUUAGUGGAAGCGUCUGGAAAGGCGCGCGAUACAGGGUGACAGCCCCGUACACAAAAGCGCAUGUGCUGUGAGCUCGAUGAGUAGGGCGGGACACGUGGUAUCCUGUCUGAAUAUGGGGGGACCAUCCUCCAAGGCUAAAUACUCCUGACUGACCGAUAGUGAACCAGUACCGUGAGGGAAAGGCGAAAAGAACCCCGGCGAGGGGAGUGAAAAAGAACCUGAAACCGUGUACGUACAAGCAGUGGGAGCACAGGUUUACCUGUGUGACUGCGUACCUUUUGUAUAAUGGGUCAGCGACUUAUAUUCUGUAGCAAGGUUAACCGAAUAGGGGAGCCGGAGGGAAACCGAGUCUUAAUUGGGCGUUAAGUUGCAGGGUAUAGACCCGAAACCCGGUGAUCUAGCCAUGGGCAGGUUGAAGGUUGGGUAACACUAACUGGAGGACCGAACCGACUAAUGUUGAAAAAUUAGCGGAUGACCUGUGGCUGGGGGUGAAAGGCCAAUCAAACCGGGAGAUAGCUGGUUCUCCCCGAAAGCUAUUUAGGUAGCGCCUCGUGAAUUCAUCUCCGGGGGUAGAGCACUGUUUCGGCUAGGGGGCCAUCCCGGCUUACCAACCCGAUGCAAACUGCGAAUACCGGAGAAUGUUAUCACGGGAGACACACGGCGGGUGCUAACGUCCGUCGUGAAGAGGGAAACAACCCAGACCGCCAGCUAAGGUCCCAAAGUCAUGGUUAAGUGGGAAACGAUGUGGGAAGGCCCAGACAGCCAGGAUGUUGGCUUAGAAGCAGCCAUCAUUUAAAGAAAGCGUAAUAGCUCACUGGUCGAGUCGGCCUGCGCGGAAGAUGUAACGGGGCUAAACCAUGCACCGAAGCUGCGGCAGCGACGCUUAUGCGUUGUUGGGUAGGGGAGCGUUCUGUAAGCCUGCGAAGGUGGCCUGUGAGGGUUGCUGGAGGUAUCAGAAGUGCGAAUGCUGACAUAAGUAACGAUAAAGCGGGUGAAAAGCCCGCUCGCCGGAAGACCAAGGGUUCCUGUCCAACGUUAAUCGGGGCAGGGUGAGUCGACCCCUAAGGCGAGGCCGAAAGGCGUAGUCGAUGGGAAACGGGUUAAUAUUCCCGUACUUGGUGUUACUGCGAAGGGGGGACGGAGAAGGCUAUGUUGGCCGGGCGACGGUUGUCCCGGUUUAAGCGUGUAGGUGUGUGUUCCAGGUAAAUCCGGUUCACUUUAACACUGAGGCGUGACGACGAGGCACUACGGUGCUGAAGCAACAAAUGCCCUGCUUCCAGGAAAAGCCUCUAAGCAUCAGGUAACAUCAAAUCGUACCCCAAACCGACACAGGUGGUCAGGUAGAGAAUACCAAGGCGCUUGAGAGAACUCGGGUGAAGGAACUAGGCAAAAUGGUGCCGUAACUUCGGGAGAAGGCACGCUGACACGUAGGUGAAGUGAUUUACUCAUGGAGCUGAAGUCAGUCGAAGAUACCAGCUGGCUGCAACUGUUUAUUAAAAACACAGCACUGUGCAAACACGAAAGUGGACGUAUACGGUGUGACGCCUGCCCGGUGCCGGAAGGUUAAUUGAUGGGGUCAGCGCAAGCGAAGCUCCUGAUCGAAGCCCCGGUAAACGGCGGCCGUAACUAUAACGGUCCUAAGGUAGCGAAAUUCCUUGUCGGGUAAGUUCCGACCUGCACGAAUGGCGUAAUGAUGGCCAGGCUGUCUCCACCCGAGACUCAGUGAAAUUGAACUCGCUGUGAAGAUGCAGUGUACCCGCGGCAAGACGGAAAGACCCCGUGAACCUUUACUAUAGCUUGACACUGAACAUUGAGCCUUGAUGUGUAGGAUAGGUGGGAGGCUUUGAAGUGUGGACGCCAGUCUGCAUGGAGCCGACCUUGAAAUACCACCCUUUAAUGUUUGAUGUUCUAACGUGGACCCGUUACCCGGGUUGCGGACAGUGUCUGGUGGGUAGUUUGACUGGGGCGGUCUCCUCCUAAAGAGUAACGGAGGAGCACGAAGGUUGGCUAAUCCUGGUCGGACAUCAGGAGGUUAGUGCAAUGGCAUAAGCCAGCUUGACUGCGAGCGUGACGGCGCGAGCAGGUGCGAAAGCAGGUCAUAGUGAUCCGGUGGUUCUGAAUGGAAGGGCCAUCGCUCAACGGAUAAAAGGUACUCCGGGGAUAACAGGCUGAUACCGCCCAAGAGUUCAUAUCGACGGCGGUGUUUGGCACCUCGAUGUCGGCUCAUCACAUCCUGGGGCUGAAGUAGGUCCCAAGGGUAUGGCUGUUCGCCAUUUAAAGUGGUACGCGAGCUGGGUUUAGAACGUCGUGAGACAGUUCGGUCCCUAUCUGCCGUGGGCGCUGGAGAACUGAGGGGGGCUGCUCCUAGUACGAGAGGACCGGAGUGGACGCAUCACUGGUGUUCGGGUUGUCAUGCCAAUGGCACUGCCCGGUAGCUAAAUGCGGAAGAGAUAAGUGCUGAAAGCAUCUAAGCACGAAACUUGCCCCGAG
RNAcentral lists this ribosomal RNA (2642 nucleotides) under Salmonella enterica subsp. enterica serovar Enteritidis. RNAcentral describes it as "partial 23S ribosomal RNA". It matches the Rfam family "Bacterial large subunit ribosomal RNA". Lineage: Bacteria; Pseudomonadati; Pseudomonadota; Gammaproteobacteria; Enterobacterales; Enterobacteriaceae. The record is from RNAcentral.